UUUUGAUGUGGACAAUGAAAAACAAGUCUAAAAGCGGAGGAGAUGGAACCAUUGAAGAAGUUGGAAUACUUUAAAGGAUGUUUCCAAGACAUUAAUGAAUUCAAUAAGUUCAUCUCCUCAAUGCAACAAACUAACGUAGCACUGGAACCGUCGUUGAAUGAGAAGGCAAUGGAAAAAGUGAUCGAGGAAUAGCUCGAGAAAAAAUAUCGGUUUGUAUUAUCAUAAUUCAAGUUAUUUCUUAUUAAAUGUUUAAUUUUAAUAUAUGUGUAUGGAAUUUGAAUGUGAGGUAAGUAGUGAUAUUUGAAUUGAAUGGAAAUUGAAUUUGAUUGAUAAAUGUAUACAUGUGUGAAAUUGAAUUGUAUAA
Long non-coding RNA from Gossypium arboreum, 364 nucleotides. RefSeq lists it as uncharacterized. The record is from RefSeq and is a predicted model, not a curated record. NCBI's taxonomy places the organism in Eukaryota, Viridiplantae, Streptophyta, Magnoliopsida, Malvales, Malvaceae. The transcript has 2 exons.